Non-coding RNA from Podarcis muralis (Common wall lizard), 225 nucleotides. Lineage: Eukaryota; Metazoa; Chordata; Lepidosauria; Squamata; Lacertidae. The record is from RefSeq and is a predicted model, not a curated record.
GGUGUAAGCAAGCAUAUCACAGUAAAGUUUCAUGCUUCAUGCUGCAGCACAUUGAGGAGCCCUGCUCACUAGGGGCACAUGCCGCUGUUGUCAUCCCCCCCACUUGGAUCCUACGGGUCCGGCAUCCCCAAAACCCGCUAAAGUCAAGUAAGAAGAAAAAGAGGACAUCGUUCAGGAGGAAAUCCAGCAAGAAGGGUCCUGAGGUCAGAGAACAGAACUAGGAUA